CGUAGGAAAAACCGCGUGGCAAUCCGAAGGCGUGAUGUGGACCGAACUUUCAGUAGGGAAGUAUGUGAGCCAUGUGCCGGGAAAAGCAGCUAUUGUUCAUACCGCACCCGUACCGUAAACCGACACAGGUGGAUGAGGAGAGAAUCCUAAGGCCGACGGAAGAAGCAUUGUUAAGGAACUCGGCAAAAUAGCCCCGUAACUUCGGGGGAAGGGGUGCCUGGAAACAGGCCGCAGAGAAUUGGCCCAAGCAACUGUUUAGCAAAAACACAGGUCUAUGCGAAACCGAAAGGUGAGGUAUAUGGGCUGACGCCUGCCCGGUGCUGGAAGGUUAAGAGGAGAGCUUAGCGCAAGCGAAGGUUUGAAUUUAAGCCCCAGUAAACGGCGGCCGUAACAAUAACGGUCCUAAGGUAGCGAAAUUCCUUGUCGGGUAAGUUCCGACCCGCCCGAAAGGCGUAAUGAUUUGGGCGCUGUCUCGACAAUGCAUCCGGUGAAAUUGAAGUACCAGUGAAGAUGCUGGUUACCUGCGCCAGGACGGAAAGACCCCAGGAGCUUUACUCCAGCUUGACACUGGGAUUCGGUAAUGCAUGUACAGGAUAGGUGGGAGGCAAUGAAAUAGGGACGCCAGUUUCUAUGGAGCCGCUGUUGGGAUACCACCCUUGCGUUAUUGGGUUUCUAACCUGCCGCCGUUACCCGGCGGGGGGACAAUGUCUGGCGGGGAGUUUGACUGGGGCGGUCGCCUCCGAAAGUGUACCGGAGGCGCCCAAAGGUUCCCUCAGAAUGGUUGGAAACCAUUCGAAGAGUGCAAAGGCAGAAGGGAGCUUGACUGCGACACCGACGGGUGGAGCAGGUACGAAAGUAGGGCUUAGUGAUCCGGUGGUAUUAAGUGGGAAUGCCAUCGCUCAACGGAUAAAAGCUACCCUGGGAUAACAGGCUUAUCACUCCCAAGAGUUCACAUCGACGGAGUGGUUUGGCACCUCGAUGUCGGCUCAUCGCAUCCUGGGGCUGUAGUAGGUCCCAAGGGUUGGGCUGUUCGCCCAUUAAAGCGGUACGCGAGCUGGGUUCAGAACGUCGUGAGACAGUUCGGUCCCUAUCCGGCGCGGGCGUAGGAUAUUUGAGAGGAGCUGCCCUUAGUACGAGAGGACCGGGGUGGACUGACCUCUGGUGUACCGGUUGUCAUACCAAUGGCACGGCCGGGUAGCCAAGUCGGGCAGGGAUAAACGCUGAAGGCAUCUAAGCGUGAAGCCCCCCUCAAGAUGAGAUAUCCCAAGACCCCUUGAAGAACACGAGGUAGAUAGGGCAGAGGUGGAAGUGCAGUAAUGCAUGGAGCUGACUGCUACUAAUCGGUCGCAAGCUUAUCA
This 1358-nucleotide ribosomal RNA is filed under the name metagenome. RNAcentral describes it as "bacterial LSU rRNA". It matches the Rfam family "Bacterial large subunit ribosomal RNA", at positions 1531 to 2925 of the family's 2925-position model. The record is from RNAcentral.